This 592-nucleotide ribosomal RNA is filed under the name uncultured Phialea. RNAcentral's name for it is "eukaryotic LSU rRNA". The stretch from base 228 to 381 matches the Rfam family "5.8S ribosomal RNA". The record is from RNAcentral. Lineage: Eukaryota; Fungi; Ascomycota; Pezizomycetes; Pezizales.
CUUGGUCAUUUAGAGGAAGUAAAAGUCGUAACAAGGUUUCCGUAGGUGAACCUGCGGAAGGAUCAUUACAGAGAUCAUGCCCUCACGGGUAGACCUCCCACCCUGUGUUAUUUACUCUUGUUGCUUUGGCAGGCCGCCUUCGGGCUCUCGGCUCUGGCUGAGGUGUGCCUGCCGGAGGACCCCCAACUCUGUGUUUAGUGUCGCCUGAGUACUAUAUAAUAAGUUAAAACUUUCAACAACGGAUCUCUUGGUUCUGGCAUCGAUGAAGAACGCAGCGAAAUGCGAUAAGUAAUGUGAAUUGCAGAAUUCAGUGAAUCAUCGAAUCUUUGAACGCACAUUGCGCCCCUUGGUAUUCCGGGGGGCAUGCCUGUUCGAGCGUCAUUUCAACCCUCAAGCUUUGCUUGGUCUUGGGCUCUGCCGGCAACGGCUUGCCUUAAAAUUAGUGGCGGUGCCAUAGAGCUCUACGCGUAGUAAUUAAACCCUCGCUUCUGAGUCUCGGUGGACGCUUGCCAACAACCCCAAAAUUUUCUAUGGUUGACCUCGGAUCAGGUAGGGAUACCCGCUGAACUUAAGCAUAUCAAUAAGCGGAGGA